UGUUGCUCAGCAGUAGAGUACUUGCCUAGCAUGCAAGAGGCCUAGGUUUGAACCCCAGCA
This 60-nucleotide transfer RNA is filed under the name Marmota marmota marmota (Alpine marmot). It matches the Rfam family "tRNA", at positions 6 to 65 of the family's 71-position model. Rfam says of the family: Transfer RNA (tRNA) molecules are approximately 80 nucleotides in length. Lineage: Eukaryota; Metazoa; Chordata; Mammalia; Rodentia; Sciuridae. RNAcentral also lists the same sequence under 2 other names. The record is from Rfam by way of RNAcentral.